This 484-nucleotide ribosomal RNA is filed under the name uncultured bacterium. RNAcentral's name for it is "partial 16S ribosomal RNA". It matches the Rfam family "Bacterial small subunit ribosomal RNA", at positions 30 to 507 of the family's 1533-position model. The record is from RNAcentral.
AUUGAACGCUGGCGGCAGGCCUAACACAUGCAAGUCGAGCGGAUGAAGGGAGCUUGCUCCUGGAUUCAGCGGCGGACGGGUGAGUAAUGCCUAGGAAUCUGCCUGGCAGUGGUGUAUAACGUCCGGAAACGGGCGCUAAUACUGCAUACGUCCUGAGGGAGAAAGAUGGGGAUCUUCGGACCUCACCCUAUCAUAUGAGCCUAGGUCGGAUUAGCUAGUUGGUGGGGUAAGGGCCUACCAAGGCGACGAUCCGUAACUGGUCUGAGAGGAUGAUCAGUCACACUGGAACGGAGCCACGGUCCAGGCUCCUACGGGAGGGAGCAGUGGGGAAUGUUGGACAAUGGGGGAAAGCAUGAUCCAGCCAGGCCGAGUGUGUGAAGAAGGUCUUCGGAUUGUAAAGCACUUUAAGUUGGGAGGAAGGGCAGUAAGUUAAUACCUUGCUGUUUUGACGUUACCAACAGAAUAAGCACCGGCUAACUUCGUG